Molecule: unclassified non-coding RNA, 345 nt
Filed under: fungal sp.
Lineage: Eukaryota; Fungi
Description: partial internal transcribed spacer region
Rfam family: Eukaryotic small subunit ribosomal RNA (bases 1-46)
Source: RNAcentral
AAGUCGUAACAAGGUUUCCGUAGGUGAACCUGCGGAAGGAUCAUUACUGAAUAAAGCGUGGUCGGGGGUUGUCGCUGGCAUCCUCGUGAUGCAUGUGCACACCUCUCUGCCACUCUGUCAUUCAUUCACCUUCCACCUGUGCAUUCUCUUGUAGGCCAGAUUGCCAUUUUUCGCCUUUGUGUGUCUUGAGAUUUGCUGCUGCAGUGACUCAGCUCCUCUCGUCUGCAUCUGGUCUAUGCUCUUUUUACCCAAACCCCAUGUUUUUGUUUUGUAUAAGUAUGGACAUUAGCUUUUGUUUAAAAGCAUGUGUAUGCACAACUUUCAACAACGGAUCUCUUGGCUCUC